GCUUUUGUCUACGGCCGAAUGUACCCGAUCUCUUCUGUUCUUGGAAGCUAAGCAAGGCCUUUUAGUAUUUGGACAGGAGGAAAACCAGUUUUGUUACUACUGAUUGAAGUA
Molecule: ribosomal RNA, 111 nt
Filed under: Cricetulus griseus (Chinese hamster)
Lineage: Eukaryota; Metazoa; Chordata; Mammalia; Rodentia; Cricetidae
Source: RNAcentral